GAGGGUGUAGCUCAGUGGUAGAGCACAUGCUUAGCAUGCAUGAGGUCCUGGGUUCAAUCCCCAGUGCCUCCA
Camelus ferus (Wild Bactrian camel) is the source of this 72-nucleotide transfer RNA. It matches the Rfam family "tRNA". From Rfam's summary of the family: Transfer RNA (tRNA) molecules are approximately 80 nucleotides in length. Their secondary structure includes four short double-helical elements and three loops (D, anti-codon, and T loops). The record is from Rfam. Lineage: Eukaryota; Metazoa; Chordata; Mammalia; Artiodactyla; Camelidae.